Molecule: ribosomal RNA, 301 nt
Filed under: uncultured bacterium
Lineage: Bacteria
Description: partial 16S ribosomal RNA
Rfam family: Bacterial small subunit ribosomal RNA
Source: RNAcentral
CAGUAGCCGCGGUAAUACGGAGGGGGCCAGCGUUGCUCGGAAUGACUGGGCGUAAAGGGCGCGUAGGCGGCGAUCAAAGUCAGGCGUGAAAUUCCUGGGCUCAACCUGGGGACUGCAUUUGAGACGUGUUGGCUUGAGUGGAGAAGAGGGUCGUGGAAUUUCCAGUGUAGAGGUGAAAUUCGUAGAUAUUGGAAAGAACACCGGUGGCGAAGGCGGCGACCUGGUCUUUAACUGACGCUGAGGCGCGAAAGCGUGGGGAGCAAACAGGAUUAGAUACCCGCGUAGUCCCUGUCUCUUAUAC